GAUUAACGCUGGCGGCGUGCAUAACACAUGCAAGUCGAACGAAGUGGCGGACGGGUGAGUAACGCAUGAGUAACCUGCCUUAGAGAAGGGGAUAGCCUUUGGAAACGAAGAAUAAUACGCUAUGCCUUAUGAUGGAGUUAAGUCUGAUUAGUUAGUUGGUGGGGUAACGGCUCACCAAGACAGCGAUCAGUAGCCGGCUUGGGAGAGGGUACGGCCACAUUGGGACUGAGACACGGCCCGGACUCUACGGGAGGCAGCAGUGGUGAAUUUUGCACAAUGGGGGAAACCCGGAUGCAGCGACGCCGCGUGAUUUAGAAGGCCGUCGGGUUGUAAAAAUCGUUUCUAUGGGAAGCAGUACCAUUGGAAUAAGGACCGGCUAAUUACGUGCCAGCAGCCGCGGUAAUUC
Molecule: ribosomal RNA, 406 nt
Filed under: uncultured bacterium
Lineage: Bacteria
Description: partial 16S ribosomal RNA
Rfam family: Bacterial small subunit ribosomal RNA
Source: RNAcentral